Molecule: ribosomal RNA, 200 nt
Filed under: uncultured bacterium
Lineage: Bacteria
Description: partial 16S ribosomal RNA
Rfam family: Bacterial small subunit ribosomal RNA
Source: RNAcentral
AGAGUUUGAUCCUGGCUCAGAGCGAACGCUGGCGGCGUACUUAACACAUGCAAGUCGUACGAGGAUCGUCGGGUUAGCAAUAAUUCGGCGGUUCGAGUGGCGCACGGGUGAGUAACACGUGGGUAACCCACCCUCGAGACCGGGAUACCCUCUCGAAAGGGAGGCUAAUACUGGAUACGUUCCUCGGGACGCAAGAUCUG